RNAcentral lists this ribosomal RNA (564 nucleotides) under uncultured archaeon. Its description in RNAcentral is "bacterial SSU rRNA". It matches the Rfam family "Archaeal small subunit ribosomal RNA", at positions 313 to 879 of the family's 1478-position model. The record is from RNAcentral.
GCGAUUCGCCCUUCGGGGUGCAGCAGGCGCGAAAACUUUGCACUGCGGGAAACCGUGAUAGGGGAACUCCGAGUGCCCGUUACUUCUGGUUGUCCUCCAGUUUACAUUAAUUGGUGAAGAAAGGGCCGGGCAAGACCGAUGCCUGCCGCCCCGCUAAUACCGGCCGCUCGACUGAUGGCCACUAUUACUGAUCUUAAUUCAUUCGUACCUAGUUUGUUAAUUCUCUCGCUAAAUCUUCCUGCUUAACUCAGACGGCGUCUCACGGAUACAGACUGACUAGCUACCGACAGAGAUAAGGGGUACUCCCUGCGUAGGAAUGAAAUCCUGUAAUCCUUGGUGGACCAACUGUGGAUAACGAACCUCUCCAAAACGACUCCGACCGAGAGGGACGAACGCUGGGGGAGCAAACCAGAUUAAAUACCCGGGUAGUCCCACCUGUAUACAAUGCACGUUAGGUGUAUCGGUGACCACGAGUCACCGAGGUGCCUAACAGAAAUCAUGAAUCGUGCCACCUGGCAAGUACGGUCGCAAGGCUGAAACUUACUUGAAUUGGCUGGGGAGCAC